Oryzias melastigma (Indian medaka) is the source of this 899-nucleotide RNA transcript. It is a transcript of the gene named family with sequence similarity 183 member A, with no coding region annotated. The record is from RefSeq and is a predicted model, not a curated record. The transcript has 5 exons. Lineage: Eukaryota; Metazoa; Chordata; Actinopteri; Beloniformes; Adrianichthyidae.
AGCUUGAGUCGCUGUUUACAGUUGCUUGGCAACGCCCGAUCAAAUCACACAGGGAUAUCCGCUAUCAAACGCGUUACGUGCAUCACCUUACUGUCAAUGACAGAAUGGCUGCAAAGGAGAAACCGACCGUCGUUGCUCAAGAUGCGAUUCACAUCGAGAGAAUCAAGAAAGAGGAAAAACUCAUGAAGCAGCACACCAAGUUCCACAUCAACCCCUUCAGGAAAUUGCACAUCCUGCCAGACAAACCCAUGUCCAGGAAACCUCCAGAAGAAGUCUCAGAAAACUCUGAUUUUAUUAAAGAACUGCACAGAGCUUACUUAGUGCCCAAGAAGAAAUACUCAACUCCACAAACGGAGAGCCAGGAGAUCGGAUGGGAGUCCAGCCCUCUGGUGAAUAAAAACUAUUUUCUUAUCAACUAAUCAACAUUUUAGCUUCCAAAUUAGGAGUCAAACUAAAAAAAAAUAUGCACUACACAGGUGAUGCAUGUUACGGUACUGAUUUUGCACAGAUCCCACUGACCCAUCAAGACCAAAGAUUUCAUUUCCACCGCGCCACCACAGACAUCACCAGACAUGCGGAAUAUGCCAGAAAAAUGGCUAAAUAAACCACAGGAACCCAGAGCGGGUCAGAUGUGUUCGUCUGCCUCUUCCACUCUCAUUUGUGGGGAUCAGUUGAUGUCCAGAAACCCCCUCAGCCGUUUCAUUCUGAUGCUAACGAUGAGGAAAGGGCGAAAAUGACAGCGGGUCAAUAGCAACCCGUGAUGUCACACAGGAGCUGAGUGAGGAGAGAGUUUGCAGCAUCACAGCUGGACUUUUAUUCAGAUACAGAUGAGCUUUGAUGAGGACUGAACAUGCCGCGGCUCCGCCCGUCACUGAUAAUAAAAACAAACGUAGAAAAUA